UCCCUUGUAGCUCAGUUGGUAAAGAAUCUGCCUACAGUGCAGGAGACCAGGGUUUGAUUCCUGGAUAGGGAA
Molecule: transfer RNA, 72 nt
Filed under: Ovis aries (sheep)
Lineage: Eukaryota; Metazoa; Chordata; Mammalia; Artiodactyla; Bovidae
Rfam family: tRNA
About the family: Transfer RNA (tRNA) molecules are approximately 80 nucleotides in length. Their secondary structure includes four short double-helical elements and three loops (D, anti-codon, and T loops). Further hydrogen bonds mediate the characteristic L-shaped molecular structure. tRNAs have two regions of fundamental functional importance: the anti-codon, which is responsible for specific mRNA codon recognition, and the 3' end, to which the tRNAs corresponding amino acid is attached (by aminoacyl-tRNA synthetases). tRNAs cope with the degeneracy of the genetic code in two manners: having more than one tRNA (with a specific anti-codon) for a particular amino acid; and 'wobble' base-pairing, i.e. permitting non-standard base-pairing at the 3rd anti-codon position.
Source: Rfam by way of RNAcentral